RNAcentral lists this ribosomal RNA (253 nucleotides) under uncultured bacterium. Its description in RNAcentral is "partial 16S ribosomal RNA". It matches the Rfam family "Bacterial small subunit ribosomal RNA", at positions 524 to 776 of the family's 1533-position model. The record is from RNAcentral.
UACGUAGGGUGCGAGCGUUAAUCGGAAUUACUGGGCGUAAAGCGUGCGCAGGCGGUUUUGUAAGCCAGAUGUGAAAUCCCCGGGCUUAACCUGGGAAUGGCAUUUGGGACUGCAAGGCUCGAGUGCGGCAGAGGAGACUGGAAUUCCUGGUGUAGCAGUGAAAUGCGUAGAUAUCUGGAGGAACACCGGUGGCGAAGGCGGCAUUCUGGACUGCAACUGACACUGAAAGACGAAAGCCAGGGGAGCAAACGGG